AAUCCCUUAUCGAGGAUCAAUUGGAGGGCAAGUCUGGUGCCAGCAGCCGCGGUAAUUCCAGCUCCAAUAGCGUAUAUUAAAGUUGUUGCAGUUAAAAAGCUCGUAGUUGGAUUUGUGGUUUACGCAAGGCUUCCGUCCCUCUUGGGUUUCGGUGUUGCCUGGCGUUGCCAUCCUUGGGUGGAAUCUGUGUGGCAUUAGGUUGUCGUGCAGGGGAUGCCCAUCGUUUACUGUGAAAAAAUUAGAGUGUUCAAAGCAGGCUUAUGCCGUUGAAUAUGUUAGCAUGGAAUAAUAAUAUAGGACCUUGGUACUAUUUUGUUGGUUUGCGCACCGAGGUAAUGAUUAACAGGGUCAACUGGGGAUAUUCGUAUUCCGCUGUCAGAGGUGAAAUUCUUGGAUUUUUGGAAGACGAACUACUGCGAAAGCAUUUAUCAAGGAUGUUUUCAUUAAUCAAGAACGAAAGUUAGGGGAUCGAAGAUGAUUAGAUACCAUCGUAGUCUUAACCAUAAACUAUGCCGACAAGGGAUUGGUGGAGUAUCGUUACGUCUCCAUCAGCACCUUAUGAGAAAUCAAAAGUCUUUGGGUUCCGGGGGGAGUAUGGUCGCAAGGCUGAAACUUAAAGAAAUUGACGGAAGGGCACCACCAGGAGUGGAGCCUGCGGCUUAAUUUGACCCAACACGGGAAAACUUACCAGGUCCAGACAUAGUGAGGAUUGACAGAUUGAGAGCUCUUUCUUGAUUCUAUGGGUGGUGGUGCAUGGCCGUUCUUAGUUGGUGGAGUGAUUUGUCUGGUUAACUCCGUUAACGAACGAGACCCCUGCCUGCUAAAUAGCCCAGUGAGUGAUUUUUCACUGACUGUUGGCUUCUUAGAGGGACGUGCAUUCUAUUAGAUGCAGGAAGAUAGGGGCAAUAACAGGUCUGUGAUGCCCUUAGAUGUCCUGGGCCGCACGCGCGCUACACUGAUGAAUUCAACGAGUUUUUUCCUUGGCCGAGAGGCCUGGGCAAUCUUUUGAACGUUCAUCGUGAUAGGGAUAGAUUAUUGCAAUUAUUAAUCUUGAACGAGGAAUUCCUAGUAAACGCAGAUCAUCAAUCUGCAUUGAUUACGUCCCUGCCCUUUGUACACACCGCCCGUCGCACCUACCGAUUGAAUGGUCCGGUGAAGCCUCGGGAUUGUGGUCAGUUUGCUUUAUUGCGAGUUGAUUGCGAGAACUUGUCUAAACCUUAUCAUUUAGAGGAAGGUGAAGUC
RNAcentral lists this ribosomal RNA (1242 nucleotides) under metagenome. Its description in RNAcentral is "SSU rRNA". It matches the Rfam family "Eukaryotic small subunit ribosomal RNA", at positions 528 to 1790 of the family's 1831-position model. The record is from RNAcentral.